UACGUAGGGGGCAAGCGUUAUCCGGAUUUACUGGGUGUAAAGGGAGCGUAGACGGAUGGACAAGUCUGAUGUGAAAGGCUGGGGCUCAACCCCGGGACUGCAUUGGAAACUGCCCGUCUUGAGUGCCGGAGAGGUAAGCGGAAUUCCUAGUGUAGCGGUGAAAUGCGUAGAUAUUAGGAGGAACACCAGUGGCGAAGGCGGCUUGCUGGACGGUAACUGACGUUGAGGCUCGAAAGCGUGGGGAGCAAACAGG
Molecule: ribosomal RNA, 253 nt
Filed under: Blautia luti
Lineage: Bacteria; Bacillati; Bacillota; Clostridia; Lachnospirales; Lachnospiraceae
Description: partial 16S ribosomal RNA
Rfam family: Bacterial small subunit ribosomal RNA
Source: RNAcentral